Molecule: ribosomal RNA, 614 nt
Filed under: Bacillus sp. (in: firmicutes)
Lineage: Bacteria; Bacillati; Bacillota; Bacilli; Caryophanales; Bacillaceae
Description: bacterial SSU rRNA
Rfam family: Bacterial small subunit ribosomal RNA
Source: RNAcentral
GAGAUAGGAAUUCCACGUGUAGCGGUGAAAUGCGUAGAGAUGUGGAGGAACACCAGUGGCGAAGGCGACUCUCUGGUCUGUAACUGACGCUGAGGAGCGAAAGCGUGGGGAGCGAACAGGAUUAGAUACCCUGGUAGUCCACGCCGUAAACGAUGAGUGCUAAGUGUUAGGGGGUUUCCGCCCCUUAGUGCUGCAGCUAACGCAUUAAGCACUCCGCCUGGGGAGUACGGUCGCAAGACUGAAACUCAAAGGAAUUGACGGGGGCCCGCACAAGCGGUGGAGCAUGUGGUUUAAUUCGAAGCAACGCGAAGAACCUUACCAGGUCUUGACAUCCUCUGACAACCCUAGAGAUAGGGCUUUCCCUUCGGGGACAGAGUGACAGGUGGUGCAUGGUUGUCGUCAGCUCGUGUCGUGAGAUGUUGGGUUAAGUCCCGCAACGAGCGCAACCCUUGAUCUUAGUUGCCAGCAUUCAGUUGGGCACUCUAAGGUGACUGCCGGUGACAAACCGGAGGAAGGUGGGGAUGACGUCAAAUCAUCAUGCCCCUUAUGACCUGGCUACCCCACGUGCUACAAUGGACAGGAACAAAGGGCCUGCAAGACCGCAAGGUUUAGCC